UUUUAUGGUUAAAAAAUUAUUCCUAAGAAUGAAGAAGUUAUAAAUAUAGAUUUCUAUGUUUGUUACAAAGUUAGAAAAUUAACUCCUAAGAAUAAAACAUUCUCAAGAAAAGUAAUUUUCAUUUUCACAUGAUUUUAAUCCCAAGGAAGUGGGUGGGAAAUAACUUCCGGGAUGUAACUAUCAUUAAUCAAACACAUUUUUUUCAAAAUACCUAGGAAUAAAAUCAACAUUAUUAUUUCCUGGGAAAUGUAUUUAUGGGAGUCAUCAAAUUCUCAGCCGUGAAACAAACGCACAGUUUGCCAUCUAUUUGAGCUCCACAAGGCCCGAAUGAUUAGUCUCUACAAUUGCACGCAGAGAAUAUCCGAUUUACGCAAAAAAAAAAAAUCAAAUCAACAUAUGUUAUAUAGUUUCUAACCCCAGCAGCCAACCUAAAUUGACCAAACAACACACACCCCCUAAUUUCAACAACCAUAAUUGUGUACACAUAUAAGUACACAUAUCUUAUGUGAGACUGCAUAUAUUAUUAAUUGUUGUGUACACAUUUUUCAUUUUCAAUCCAACAAAUAUGGCUUUGCAUUUAUCAAACAUCUUUGGGUGCUUCUCUGAGUCUUCACCACAAUCAAAAAGAUACACAUGCAACGGUGAUGUUUGUGUUCUUAGAAAAACCUCAAAGGAAGAAAAUCUUGACAAAAAAUCACCUAAGCAAAAGCAAAGUCCUAGGAUUUCAUUCUCACGUUUUUCUAUCAAAUCUUCUCCAAGGGAUCACACUUCUGAAUAGCAAGGCCUAGUAAUCAUUAUUCUUCUUAGACAGGUUGAUUAAUUGGUGUUAUAUAUAUAUAUAUAUAUAUAUAUAGAAUUUGUUCCAUUUAUAUAGUUGUAUUUUUGGUUGUUGCUAUUAGUAUGUAUUCAUAUGUAUAUUGUGAUCGUUGAAGAUGAAAUUGGAGUAUUGGAGGCUACAAAUAGUGGCAUUUUAAUUGAAUCCAUUUUGUUUGAAUAUAAAGCAAUCACAAAUAGUAUAUUUAACUAACGGAUCGGAUAACAAACGGUAAUUAUAUAAUAGUACGCAUUGACAUAUUUUCAUAACUUUGCUAAAUUUGUAUGACUCAGAAUCAAAUGAUUAAGAGAUUCAAAUAUCAGUCAUUUAUGCACAUACUAUUGGUUGCUGAAUUUGCAUUUGAUUUAGAGAAAUAUUGUUUCGGAUGAAAUUGGAUCAACGGAUUGGCAAUAUAUA
This 1231-nucleotide long non-coding RNA is filed under the name Trifolium pratense (red clover). Its description in RNAcentral is "long non-coding RNA (TPRA_LNC001793)". Lineage: Eukaryota; Viridiplantae; Streptophyta; Magnoliopsida; Fabales; Fabaceae. The record is from RNAcentral.